CCUACGGGUGGCAGCAGUGAGGAAUAUUGGUCAAUGGGCGCUAGCCUGAACCAGCCAAGCCGCGUGAAGGAAGACGGCCCUAUGGGUUGUAAACUUCUUUUGUAUGGGAAUAAAGUCCAGUAUUUAUACUUGUUUGCAUGUACCUUAUGAAUAAGGAUCGGCUAACUCCGUGCCAGCAGACGCGGUAAUACGGAGGAUUCGAGCGUUAUCCGGAUUUAUUGGGUUUAAGGGGAGCGUAGGCGGGGUGUUAAGUCAGAUGUGAAAGCUCGGGGCUCAACCGCGGAAUUGCAGUUGAUACUGGUAGGCUGGAGAGUAGGAGAGGUAGGCGGAAUGUGUGGUGUAGCGGUGAAAUGCUUAGAGAUCACGAAGAACUCCGAUUGCGAAGGCAGCUUGCUGGACUGCAUCUGACGUUGAGGCUCGAAAGCGUGGGGAUCAAACAGGAUUAGAUACCCGAGUAGUC
RNAcentral lists this ribosomal RNA (460 nucleotides) under uncultured bacterium. Its description in RNAcentral is "partial 16S ribosomal RNA". It matches the Rfam family "Bacterial small subunit ribosomal RNA", at positions 338 to 795 of the family's 1533-position model. The record is from RNAcentral.